AUGAUCAGUGAUUGGACUGAUGCUUUCAGUUCUGCUCUCAGUGUUUCCUCUACAGAUGAAGGUAGAAAGUCUCUGGGAGCUGAUGUGGAUGUGAAUUCAGCAGCAGCUGCCAAGCAGGUUGCUGUGUCUGUGUGAAGGUGUGGGCUCUGCUAUGAAUCAGUGUGAGGACAGAGAGGAGGGAGUCCCUCCCUCUAAAAGCACUCUGUGUGAGGAACAUGACACAAGGACCAAAGCUCAGAGGUGAGAUGAGGAUCUCUAACUGUCCAUGACUCUUCUCCAUGUCACAAAGGCUUUGAUUCUCCAUUUGAAACAAAGACAUUUAUCUCAGCAAAAGUAUGUAGUUGUCAGUAUUCAAACAGGGCUGGACUAGGAGCUGAUUGCUCGCUGGUUAGAUGUUGUAUCUGCUCUCACUUUAAUUAUAUGGAAUUCAGACAGUGUGUUGAAGUUUGUGACAUCAGUAAAUUGUGUUCAGUAACACGUCCAUAAUGUCAGUAAUUGAAGACAUUGUUCUUAUUGUCCAGCCCUCUAUUCAAACAUUUCAAGUUAUACAUCAUUUCACAAAGUCUUUGAUUCAGUGAGAAUGGUUCUGAAUAUGUGAGCUUUAAUGAAUUUCUUUCUAUCAGGAUCCAUCAGAGACCAGACUGUCCUGAACCUGAACCCAGCUGUGUGUCCAUGAAGAGUGACCUCUCUAUGGAUCGUUAUAUAGACUUCAAAGAUGGCCGCCACUCUGUUGAUCAAAGGUGAGGAUUUUCGAACUGAUGAUGAAAAUAAAAUUAUGUGUUUUCAUCAGACUCUCAGUUGUGAAAUCUCUUUUAAUGGAUGGUGAUGGUAUGUGUCUGAUCAGCUCAAUUUACAACAGCCUCUUAAAGUGAACAAAUAGUUGCAGCAGUUUAUAGAAACUCACUGUCUGUUCGUCUUUUUAUCCUAAUUAGACCGAUAUGGUCACUCGACAGCAUAAUUUCCCCACCUAUACUGCACACUGCACUGAAUACAACUUUAAUAAAUACACUGAAACAUUUCUAAAUCAAACACUGACUUUAUAGAAAUCCUAACCAAGAACUCCCUGGAUACAAAUACACUGUUUACAGUAGGUGUAUUCAGUCACUGGCAGGUUUUGUCUCAGUGUGUUGUGGGUGCAGUGCAGAAUUUAUCCUGUUUUUCUAUCAGAAGGAAAAAACCUGAACCCAGCUGUGUGUCCAUGAAGAGUGACCGCUCUAAGGGUUGUCCUGUAUUCUUCAAAGAUGGCCGCCACUCUAUUGAUCAAAGGUGAGGAUUUCAAACUGAUGAUGAAACUAAAAGUCUUUUCAUCAGACUCUCAGUUGUGAAAUGGACAGUGAUGGUUUGUGUCUGAUCAGCUCAAUUUACAACAGCCUCAGUUUCAAAGUGAACAAAUAGUUGCAGCAGUUUAUAGAAACUCACUACUCUGACACCAUGUUAAUCAAUUAAAUUCAAUUUUACUUGUAUAGCGCCGAUUCAUAACAAAAGUUAUCUCAGGAAACUUUUGAAAUAGAGCAGGUCUAGACCGUACUCCUUAUGAAACUAUUUACA
Dicentrarchus labrax (European seabass) is the source of this 1548-nucleotide long non-coding RNA. Lineage: Eukaryota; Metazoa; Chordata; Actinopteri; Moronidae. The record is from Ensembl.